UCAAACUUGGUCAUUUAGAGGAAGUAAAAGUCGUAACAAGGUCUCCGUUGGUGAACCAGCGGAGGGAUCAUUACCGAGUUUACCAACUCCCAAACCCCAUGUGAACGUACCCUCUUCCGUUGCUUCGGCGGUGCCGCCCCGGGCGCGGGCCUCUCGUAGGCCGCCAGCCCCGGACACAGGCGCCCGCCGGAGGACCCCCAAAACUCCUUUGUAUUUUACCUAGCUUCUCCCUCUGAGCCCUUCACGCUCCCACGAGCGGAAGGAAAAACGAAAAUGAAUCAAAACUUUCAACAACGGAUCUCUUGGCUCUGGCAUCGAUGAAGAACGCAGC
This 331-nucleotide unclassified non-coding RNA is filed under the name uncultured fungus. Its description in RNAcentral is "partial contains small subunit ribosomal RNA, internal transcribed spacer 1, and 5.8S ribosomal RNA". The stretch from base 1 to 73 matches the Rfam family "Eukaryotic small subunit ribosomal RNA", at positions 1759 to 1831 of the family's 1831-position model. Lineage: Eukaryota; Fungi. The record is from RNAcentral.